CCCUUAGAUGGUCUGGGCGGCACGCGCGCUACAAUGAUGCAUUCAAAAAGUCUUCUGACCUUAGAAGGUUGGGUAUUCUCCAAGGUGCAUCGUGAUGGGAAUAGUUUAUUGCAAUUUUUAAUCUUGAACGAGGAAUUCCUAGUAAGUACAGGUCAUCAACUUGUGUUGAUUACGUCCCUGCCCUUUGUACACACCGCCCGUCGCUCCUACUGAUUGAGUGUCUCGGUGAAUUCUUUGAUCUUCUGUCGAUUCAGUUCACUGAUCCGACGGUGGAAAGUUGAAUGAACUUCGUCACUUAGAGGAAGGAGAAGUCGUAACA
This 319-nucleotide ribosomal RNA is filed under the name uncultured eukaryote. RNAcentral's name for it is "partial 18S ribosomal RNA". It matches the Rfam family "Eukaryotic small subunit ribosomal RNA", at positions 1470 to 1796 of the family's 1831-position model. The record is from RNAcentral.